ACUAUUAGUGCAAGCUAAAUGUUUACAAGCGGCGCACGCAGUAGGUACCUGUUUGUGAGGGGGGGACUAUCGAUCGGGGCGAGGCGAACGAGGAACGUAGCGCGAACUGCGAAUUACGAGUCAGUCCCCGUCUGAACCACACGCAGUCAAACACGUGCGAUUGUGAAAAGUGAACCGUGCAACAGAGACUGACUAUCGCUUGCUUCCAGAGGAGCGACAUGCAGCCAUAAUACUGGCCGCACUGAUCUUAAAUAUACAGAUAUGCUCCAGUCGCUAUUGCAACCAAAUACACAUCGGACGAAGCGUACCGCCAUUAAAAUGAUUGGGGCAAUGCCAGCAGUAGCAGUCCGUCAUGAACGGCGUCGAGUGGAGAAGCGGAGUGGGGGGAGGAGACCCUCGCAACUGCCCCUCCAGCUUGGCCGGGGUGUAGAGGAGGCGUCACCCUCUCCAGACCGCAGAUGCGUACCAUAUCUGUGCUGCUUCACAAAGACCACAUUCCUGCACGCAGUGGUAGGGUCCUUGGUGCUGGGGAUCGUGGUGUUGGUGGUGGGACUAGUGCAGCUGUCUCCGGGGGCUGAGGCAGCUCAGUACCGAUUCUAUCUGAUGGGAGCUGGAGCCGCGCUCAUAGGGUCUGGCAUACUUGGAACUAUUCUACGAUGCUACUGCAUACACAUAUUUGACAGGGAGUAUAAUAGGGAAUACCGGGAACCGGGAGUAGCUCAGCCCAACCAGAAGCAGGUGGGUGUUGUGGACCCCCACGACUACAAACACAAGCUCAAGACACAGCCAAGCAUGAGUCGCGAAGCCGAGCUCACCAAGCAACCAUCGGCUGGAAGUGAAACUUAAAUAUCCUUUCAUUAUAUGGAGUGUAAUAUCGAAAGGUUCGCUUAUAUUUUUAUUUGUAAAUAAAUUAUUGAUUUAUUGUACGAAAUAAUAGAUCUGUACAGUGUUUACCCCGAGCAGUACUGAUGCAACACAUUAUCUGUCGCAUAACGAUGUUUUGCUUUGAAUUGCAUUACAGGCACGUGACUUAGAUAAUAUUUUAUACGUCUAGAUAUAGCCUUUUGUUGGUAGGCAACGUGUGAUAACAGGCCAGGUUUAUCAAAAUAGUGUGCAUGACAGUUGCGUCUUACAUUCGCGAUAUGCUAGUCAUUUUGGUUUAGUGUGCGUGUGUUGUUGAAAAUAGAGGUUAAGAGUUCGUCGUUAUUUUUUUCGACGUUUUCACAGCUGUCUAGGCGUAUAAAUUAUCUAAGGCACUUGAGAUACUCUGUAAGGCUGAGAUAAAAAGAGCGUACUUAAACUUUGCUUAGACUCUACUUAGGUAAUACUUAGCCAAGUGUGAUCAAAUGCGAACUUUACUUUUGCUUUGGCCUGUCUCAGCUUAAGCUCAGUAAAAUUUCAGCUGUCAAAUGACUGUAUAAAAAAGGGAAGAUUAUGUUAAGCUAACCAUCAGCUAAUAUAACAUAAGUAAAGUCUAAGUACGCUCAACAGAUGUCAGCCUAAGUCCCAUGCUGGCAGACCUAGAAUGAUACACUUCAGCUCUUUUUGUAAAGCGACUCAGAUUGGUAUGUCACUGUUAUGACCAAAUGACACCAACUGACCUGUAGAAAUACCACUGGACAGGCUGUUCCAUAUAUUUGACACAAUUUUUUGUGCCUAUUUGAAGCACCACUUGCGAGCAAAUUUUGACGAUGCGAUGGAAGGGUACUGUACCUACUCUGAAAUAUUUUUGGAUGCUGGAUUAAUUUCAUUCGUUUUCCGUAUUAUUUAUACAUCAGGAAUUAACAUAAUAAAGUACAUAUUUUUUUUAUGGUAUAUAGUUUUCCUAUCGAUGUUUGUUUAGCUGAGGUUGUCAUUACUAGUUUUAGUAACGCAGACCAUCGCUACAUGGCCAACAGCGCCAAAAUGGCGAAUAUCAAACAGGCACAAAAGCACUUUGACAGCCGCCAGUCCAGUGGUAAAUAGUAGAGGUCAGUGUUGACACCACAUAAUAUUCAGUAAAUGGCUUAUUGUUGUAUCUAUACAUUUUAUUGAAUUUGUUGUUUGUAUUCAUUUUAAAGGUUUUUUUUUCUAAGUGUCAAAUUUGAGUAAGAUUCUCGGAUACUUGAUAUGCUUUACUUACACUCCAACUUUAAGCCUUUAUAAAAAAUAUAUUAUAAGUAUUGUAUUAAAUACUCGUUACUAUAGGAAACAUUAAAUAAAAUAUUUGAAAUCUUUUGAUAUACCUUUAAAUUUUGAGGACACUUUAGUUUAUUUAAAUAUAGACUUUUGAGGUUAUUUAUUUUUAGAUUUAACAAUUUUAUUAUAUUUAAGUUAUGUUUACUUAUAGUUUCAGUAAAUCAAUACCCUAAAAUAAACGAUUUGUCGAUUUGUAAUCUAGUGCCUACUUAACUUUUAUUAAGUAGGCAAGUAGGUACUAACUUAUAAAAUUAUUUUUACAAAAUUUUAAACAAAGUGCACAUUUCAAUAUUUACAUGUUUGAUACAUAAAUAGUUUCCAACUGCAAAUGCGAGUCUAUUUUUGGUAAAUAUGAAAGUACCCGCAAAUCAAACAUAUCAUAACAAUAUCAACGGAAUUCAAGGUACAUUCGAAUGAUAUUCGAUAUAACAUAACAUUACUGUAUAUAAUAAUAUUUUUAAUAAUUUUGUAUGAUUUACCCUCUACACCGUCCGAUUUUGUUGAUUUCUUCCAAGAUUUUAAAAUGUUAUAACAAAUACAUAUAAUUGUAUUUAAGACAUGAUUGCGACCAUGUUUUCGUGUAUUACUGGUAAUAGUAUUAAUAAGGUCCUGUCAUAAAUUAUUCAAGAAGUUCUGUCUCCUACAAACAUCACUAUCUACAUUGAGAAAAGAAACAUAAUCAGCUAUUUUUAGUAUUAGGUCCGUAUUACAAAAGUGGUCCAUUACUUAAUUUAUUAUCAAGUGUAUUGUUGUCAGCAUUGAAAUGUAACUAAGAAGGCUUCUACACUGGUUUACUUCAGUAUAUCUAACUGCGGAAACUUUUCUACAACCUGUAAAUAUACCAAUCAAAAUAAACUUUUUAAACUUUACCAUUUUCUAAUAAGUGCCUCAAUAGUCAAUAUCCAAGGCGUCGCAAGCGUACGGAUAUCAAUAUAAAGACGGCAGUGGUCCCGCAAUGAAUUGGUACUUGUAACAUUAAUACUAAUAUUGAAAUUUUAUACAAAAUAGGAUUAAAAAUUACUUAUUGCAAGUCAAAUACUACUACUCAUUCGAAAAGGAAAAAACCUGACAAGAACGGGUGCAAAAAACUCAGCGGUCUUCUUUUUUUUCAUAAUUUAUAUCACAAUAAAAUUUAUUAUUUUGAUAUAAAAAUUAUGGUCGCUCAAAUCUUAAUGUGCUAAUAUCAUCAAGAAAGCCAUUUAUGGUAUAGUAACUACACAAACGAUUAUUAACAAUUCUUUUGUUUUAUACAUUUUCUGGAAUCAUGUUGUAAAAGCAUAUAUACAUCGCCUAACAAAAUACCUACUAAGUCGUCUGAACCGGUGUAAUGACAUUAAUUAUCUUAUUAUUUAGAUUUCUAUGGUUGUCACUGAAAGACUACCAUGCUUUUGGAAUACGGCCAAAUUUGAACAUUGAAUAAUAUUUGGGCAAUAUUUAGGGCGGUAUUUCACCGGGACACCAUGGUGGCGGGUGGCGCAACCAGUCGCCGCUACCAACUAACGGCCGUUUUCAAUAACCUAUUUAUCCUUAGUUAAACUUACUAGAUAGACAAAUCUAUCCUUUUACGCUUACUUACAUUUCAAUAACCUAUUGACAGAUAGCAUUGGACUUUCAGCCGUUUUCAAUAACCUACAUAUCCUUAGUUUAACUUACGGAUACAUUGCUGUCACCGUUUAAUGACAAGAUCUUAUCAAUCCAUAGUUAUGUCCAAUAUAAUAUAGUCCAAUGCUAUCUGUUAAUAGGUUAUUGAAAUGUAAGUAAGCGUAAAAGGAUAGAUUUGUCUACUUCUAGUAAGUUAAGUUAAGGAUAGAUAGGUUAUUGAAAACGGCCGUAAAUGUAUACAGCUCUAUAGAGAGUUAUUCACUGGUAUCCGUUUCAGCUCGGACACGUCAUGACACUGGUGUCUAGUUUGGUAGCUUACGCGCAACCAGUCGCGCCACCGUGGUGUGGUGUCCCUGUGAAAUAUAGCCCUUAUUGUAUUCAUGAGUCCUUCUUUCACUGAGCUUAUAUUAUUAUAACUUUGUUCUUUUAAUGUGUCAGAACUUUUUGGAAAUUUGAACGGGCGUAAAUAUUUAUGUAUUUAGAUACUCGAAUCAUUGUCAGUGUUAACAAUUAGUAUUAAGUAUUUCUGUCAUUUACGACUAUCUCGAUAUGUAGGUAAGUAUAUACUAUUGUUUACUGGACAUAUUUUGCUGGAUUUGUUAUCAAAAAUUUAUAUAUUUUUUUUCUUUCAACGCAAUGAGGGCAAAUACGAUGCUGCUUUAAGCCGCACUUAAGUUGGCAAGGUUUACCACUUACUCUUGAACUUGACAUGAAGGUGACGAGAUAAACAAGACGUUCACCUCACAGUAAGUGAUGUGCCUAAUAACUUCAUUCAACCCAAUAUUCAAGUGGCAUGGUAGUUGCGCUUUGUCAGAAGGCACUUUGAGGCAUAGCAUGUUAAAGGUCGGACCGCAUUACAGCGCCGCAGCGCAGAACUGCAAACCGCAGUACAAAGCGUCGAAAUAUUAUUUCGAUCAUUUCGUAUGCAUGUCGGUUAACUUGAGCGGUCCAACUAGAGCGGUCUUGCACUGUGCUUUCUGAGCUAAAAAACCUCUUACUAUACUUCAACAAAAAUAUUAUUCUUAAUUUAAAAUAACACAAUCGGCUUAGACGUGACGCAAGUUAAAAUAAAACUGGAUAACGUAAAUAUUUCGUUAAAAUAUUUGAUAAAAAAAUAGAUUAUUUUUUUAACCAAUUUACUCAAUUAAUAAUAAAUUGUUUAUUCAUGUAAAUAAUUAACAAAUUGGAUAGUGUUAACAUGUGAAGGUUUUCGUUUGUGAGUUAAAUGAUUUAAAUUGUCUUAGUUUUGUAGGAAAACUACGAGACAAUAAAAUUGUAUUCGGUAGCAUUCGGGAACUACGAUGUUUUGUUUAUAAAUUAAAAAAAAGGAUUUAGUAUGGUUAGAAUUUUAUGAAUAUAUAUAUUUGUUUUAUGUAUAUAUGAUAUAUCAACAAACAAUAUCCGACGUCAGCCGCCAAAUACGAGGUUAUUGUGAAAUACAUCUAAUAAAAAUUUAGGUUAAAAUAUAUUUCAAAAUUAUUCGCAAAUAAAAAAUAAAAAUCUAAUCAUAUGAGACUGACCCAGUGUUCUAAACAAAAACAUUGAAUUAGUUCCAUCAUUUUCAAAUUAUGAUUUUCAUAUAAAUUGUUUUAAAAAAAAUUAUUGUAUUACCCACGAUAAAAUUAAGACAUCCAUUUCAUUACAUAUUCUAAAAUAAUUAUAAUAUGGGUCCAAUAAAUGAUCCAUACUUAAAUUAAAUAGUAGAUUUCAUACUUAUCUACCAUUUUUCUUCUAUUGGUGUUGUGGAUAAAUGUCGUUUUAGAUUUUAUCUUACUGUUUACUAAUAAAUUUUAUGUGGAAUUAGACUAUGCAGUACGACGAAUUGUAAAUACUUUGAUGUUGACAUAUGAUUCAUUAAAUAAGUUUAAAUAUUUUGAAUUUAAAGUUAAAAUAAGCUGGUGUUUCGAGACAUAUAUUAACAUCAAAAAUACGUUGUGUUCCUUAUUGGAUCGUGUUUGUUAAAGGAAAGAAUCAUUUAGUUAUUAUUACAAUUAGCACUUUCAUUAUCUGUAUAAGGUUGAGUUGCAUCAUAUUAGUUGUUACAGUUAAGGUUUAAAUCAAAUUGAACGUUAACAGUAACGCUUACUUUAACAUAGACUGCGGUAUGCAACUAACAAAUUACACUCUUUACAUGCUUAAUCUUAAAAUAUAAUAAUAAAAUGGAUAAGAGUUAAUUCACUUAUAAGCUAUCACAGCAUUCAUAAUUUUUACUACCCUUAUAGGACAGUAGUUUUAACAACUUAUAAAUUAAAAUAUAAAAAUAUUGUAAUAUAUAAUUUAAAAUAAAAAUGAAAGUAUGAAAACAAAGUUUCUAAGUCCCAUGUGUAAAUUAAGCAUUAUCUUUUUAUAUUGAGCAAGCGGAAUGAAUAAAUCAAUGUUCUGCAAUUUGGCCAGUGAGUUAUAUGACCUACAGAGCCUAGAAAUAGUUGCAUUUUGACCCAGAUUAGUCCUAGAUUGUGGUACUACAAACAACGAAUAGGCAUUUUUUCUUAUAAAUUUUGGAGGAAUUAAUUCUUAAUUAUUCUUUUUAUUCGAAUAUUAAUUUCAAACUUUUGACAUCAAAUAAUAUAUUCACUUUCUUUUUCUUGUAUGUUAACGUCUCUCUUCCACGCUUUGUAUGUCUAAUAAUUUAAUAAAAUAUAUUAUUUUAAAAUAAAAUCAAAUAAACUUACAAUUUUAUAUACAUUUUGAAUUAUUAAAAUUAAAAGUCGGUUUUACUUUAAUAACUAUACUCGUCAUAGACAAUUUGACUCUAGGCAAUUGUUGGUUGAAAUUUCAACUAGAAACAACUGCGGAAGGCGUCCUUAAAGGUAAUAAGCUACGGCCUUUCUCAGAUUUAGGCUGCAUUUAGUGGUCGACCGACACGGACGGUCAGCGUUGACCAUGUUGCGUUCAAUGCUCAGCUGACAGAAAAAUUGAUUACGCGUGUACAAUUACAGUACAUUAUCGCCAUAGCGCGUUAGUAGAGCGACGCUGACGUACGCCUACCGAAGAGCUCGACCGACGAAUCUCGUCAGCGCGACCUUGACGUAGCUGUACGCGCGUAGAGAUUCCUCAGCGCUAGACUGUACGCGUUCAUAUUAUGUUUCCAUUGUUAUAGCUACGCUUGACUGACGCCAGCGCUGACCGUCUGUCUAGCACUAAAUGCAGCCAUAAAAACUCAAAAUUAAUAUGUCAGUCGUGCUAAUGCGGACGUGACAACAAUCAGUACGGACAACAAGGGGACUACUGCAACUUUGAUUUAUUAUAAAUAAAUAAAUGAAGCCGUUAUAAGUAGUCCAGCACUUACAAAACAUAAAAAAAAAUGAAACAGAUACACAAAGAUGAUACUGAUCUCCAUCAAAAUAGUUACUGACCUAAGUUAAAGCCCCUAACUUGUGUCCUCUUAAUACGUAAAGUCUCAAACCUCAAUCAUAGUCAAGUGAAUCACUUCAUCAUGGAUUACGUAUUUAGUCCUUACGUGAUUUUAAAUGAAAGCGUAUUUGAAAAUCAGCCAUCUUGAAAGUUGUAACCGCCUUUCCUUUUGUGAGACAAACACAUCCAACGAAGGAGAGUUUCAAUAAUAAAAAUAUAUUACAAUGAACACGAUGUAUUACUACUAGAUAUAUUAAUCGGUGUUAGAGUUAAGUAUUUACUUCUUAUUGUAGGGUUAUGUUAGGAGUCGAUAUUAGCGAAUUAAAUUUUCGAUAUUUUAUGAGCAUAUUACUGUAUUUAUAUUACGCUUUAGUACAUUCUGAUUUGCAAAAUAUUAUUCAGACUGCUAUAAAAAUAUAUAUAUAUUUUGAAAGCUUGGACAAUUUUAAAUGUUUUACGUAUUUUUUAUUACAAUUAGAAGGGCUUCAAAUGUCACCUGUAUUGUGAAAACAAGCAAAGCAUCUGAAAAUACACCUGAAGCAAACUCGCUUCAUUUUCAUUUUGGCAUUUCUUUUCAAGGUUUUGGGAAUAGUGACAGAUGUCCCUAAACUUUCCGUUUAUGAAGAAAACACCAUUAUAGGCAUCGCGGCGUUACAAAGGCGAUAUUAAAUGAACACACAGGGAAGAAGUACUUAACCUUCAUCAUAAAGAAAUAAAUCUAAUAAUCAAAUUAAAUAUUUGAAAUAUUGAAAUUUACAAACAAACUAUGUAAUUAUAUUAUAUGUAGGAAACAACAGUUUAAACAACCUCUCCUGGUCGCACAAGAUGGCACGAAGUUGGUGUCAGUGGCUAGCUAGUGCGCGGAUACUAGAUUACUUACAGGCUGUUCCGAAAUUAUAUUAUGGAAAAUUUAUUUAUUUAGGUGAAUUAUGUAUUUUUAUUUUUAAUUAAUUUCUUAAUGAUUAUGGUUAAAUAGUUCUACCCCUGCGUUUAUUUCUGAUAUCACGCUGAAUCUAUACGUAUAAAAAUAAAAGUAUAGUUUUCAUUUGAUUUAAUUCAUUAUUCAAUGCAGCAAUAUGAGUAAUUGGAACUUAGCAUUUUGACUCUUGAUAUUAUUAAGUGGCAAUGAGUUGUCCAGGCUUUCAAAGGUGAUGUAUUUAUGUUUUUUUUUUAAAUUUAUAGAAUGUUUUGUGAACAAUGAACGUAGCCCAUAUCAUCUCUUUAAAAUGCCAUAAUUUAGUUGUCCAUGUUAUCAAAAUAUCAUUGAACAUUAUCCCCCUUAUUCAUAAUGGCUCGCUAACUUUAAAGAGCCGCUAAGGAGUGUUUUUUCUCAUUCUGACUUAGGUCAAUAGAAGAAGACAGAGUGCGAAUUAGCAAUGCUUUAAGUUAGCAGACUAUUAUGAAUAAGGGGGUAUAAAUAUAUAUUGUAUAUGUAAAGUAUGUAUAUUUUAGCGCUUUCUCUAUUCAAUUGCUGUGCCAAAUUAGUUUUUGGAAAUUUCGCCGAAUUUAUAUACCUACGUAGGUAAACAUAAUGCGUAUCCAUGUUACGAAAAAUAUAUAUGCUUGUUGAAAUAAAUACCUAGUUAAUCUCUAUUUUACAAUUCUUUAACGGAUUUGACAUACCUUUCAUAAUUAUUAAGCUUCCAUGUAGGUACUGUGGAUGUUAGAUUUUGUAAGAUUUUAGUGAUACUUAAAAUUCUAUUUUGAAUUCUAAAAUAAUCGUAUAAUUAAGAAUUACAAAGAUACUUAUGUCUAGUCAACCAAUCCGAACUUAAUGCCUGACGGGUUCAACCGAUUACGUAUUUAAUAAACCAUUUUUUUUUCAUUUUGUAUUGCAAUCUCUAUUAACCCUAUGUUCUCCUGGUAGAAAAGCUAUUCGAUGCUUAAUACACCCAUCAAUAAAGACCGUGUAAUUCAAUAAUUAAUAUAUUUAAAUCAGACAUUGUAUCUUCGUCUCAGUUUGACGGGCGCAGUGUAACGUGACCGGGGUCAUAUCGCUACAUAACACUAUGCUCUAGGUCCACAUUACAAAGAGUCCUAAAGUCUAGGACACUUUGUAAUGUGUCGAAUCAAAUAAUAUUAUCACAAUAAAUAUGAUGAAACAACAAUUUCUUUCUUCUUAGUUAUAAGAAGCAAAUCAUUUUCCCUCUAAAUUCUAUCUUCUACAUGUUUUCUUCUCCCGUAGUACUUGGUUCUUAUUUUUGCUUAUAAAUUGUAUAUAAGUUGUGUUACAUUCCGCGUGUACAUGUGAGUUUCGCCAAUAAAAAUUUAAAUAUGUUAUUGAUGUUUCACUUAACAAAUCUAUUUAUUCUAAGUUUCAUUUUUCUAUCCGUCAUGCUGUCAGGACGUAGUAUUAAUUUCAUAAUAUUAUUUUCAUAGACGUUGCAUGUUUUAGUUGUUUAAGUAUAUAAUAUUAUUUAAAUUAUUAAAUAAUUUAGAUUUUAAUUUAAGUUAAUGACUGUACUAUUUUAUAGCUCAUAUAUUUUAUACUGAUG
Molecule: RNA transcript, 9629 nt
Organism: Leptidea sinapis
Lineage: Eukaryota; Metazoa; Arthropoda; Insecta; Lepidoptera; Pieridae
Exons: 5
Source: RefSeq, a predicted model, not a curated record